GAAAAUUCAAAAUGAUUUUCCAGCAACACACGGUGGCCGGAAAUCGCCAUAUGGCGGCGACUGCGACGACCGGAGGUCAAAACCUCUAAUUGAAACCUCUAACCUAAUCGUUACAUUCCCCUGAACGGUGAUGACAUAGAGAACGAGGCCAUGGGGGAAGGAAAUAGGAGAUAUCGAUCUUCACGGUGGUAAUAUGAAUAGUCAAAGAGUUCAAGGGUUUACCUGGAGCGACGCACGAGAUUGCAGAUUGAGAAGGCCGGAGAUGAGGGUGGCAUUGAAGACGGUGAAGAACCGAAAUCUGUUGCGAUUAGAGAACUUCGAGAAGAAACUGGAGUAGUAUCUGCCGAGAUAAUCGCCGAGGUUUCUUUGAUGAUUACAUCAACAAUGCUUUGUUGCCAUGAUGCAUCUCUUGCCAUAAGACAUGUUCUUGAGCGAUUUCAGUCUGUUGUGAUUACAUCUGGCACAUUAAACCCUAUAAAUUUGUACCCUUGUCUUCUAAAUUUUGAGCCUGUUGUAAUCCUAACCCGUGGAAGGAAAUAAAUCAGUGUAAACUUGUCUUUUUUGAGACUCAAGAUGUGGUAGAAACAACAUUGGCUCUUUACAACUACCGCAAAGCUUGUGAUUGUGGAAGAGGCGCUAUCUUUUUUACAAUUGCGAGGGAGUUUUCUUCAAUGCAUUCUUUGUGGUUUACAUACUCUCCCCAAAGCUGGCUCAUAGAGUUGUUGGGUACCUUGAGGAGGAAGCUAUACAUUCCUACACCGAGUAUUUAAAAGACAUUAAUAGUGGUGCAGUUGAAAAUGUUCUGGCUCCUUCCAUUGCAAUUGACUAUUGGAGGCUUCCCAAGGAUGCCAAAUUGAAAGAUGUUAUAACAGUCAUUCGUGCCGAUGAGGCUCACCAUCGAGAUGUUAACCAUUUUGCUUCGAUACAGACUUAAACAUAAAAGAGUUAACAUAAGAGCUGUUAAGCAUUGGUGCAGACAGAUUUUGGAAGGUCUCCUUUAUCUCCAUAGCCAGGAUCCUCCUGUCAUCCAUAGAGAUCUCAAAUGUGAUAACAUUUUCAUCAAUGGUAACCAAGGAGAAGUCAAAAUCGAUGAUCUUGGCCUCGCUGCAAUUCUCCGCAGAUCGAAUGAUGUUCACUGCGUAGAGAUUCAGUGGAGGAGAAAUAAAGAAUAUCCUUGUGGUAUGAUAGUGGGAGCAUCGACUUCGUCUGAGAAUGAGUGAUGUUCUUCUCUUAACGGCUGAUGAGAUCAUGAUUCACUGCAGUCACCGGCUUGUUACCUGUAAUCAAAAUGAUAAGCAAGUUGGUGCUUCAUAUAUCCUGAUGCUUUCUGAAAAUCCAGGCAUAUCUGAAGAAGAAAAGAAACGUCUUAUGUACUGUGUGGUUAUUGGAGGUGGUCCUACAGGGGUGGAAUUUAGUGGUGAAUUGAGUGAUUUCAUCACGAAAGUCUUUGUCACUCAAGUUUUAAACUACGUCUUCUGCAUAUCUAAAGUCUUUGUCACUCAAGUUUUUAUAUUUAGUUUUGGUUCAGGUUUAUUAGAUAUAUAAUGUACUUAGUCAAUCAUAUACUGAUGCUAUUGUCAUUGAUGUGUAGACAAUAAAAUAAUUUGUAUUCAUAAAAUUAUAGUAAUCAAAUUUUAAAUUCUUUAAAAUUGGCGCAAGUGAUUGGUGUG
This is a long non-coding RNA of Vicia villosa (hairy vetch), 1670 nucleotides long. RefSeq lists it as uncharacterized. NCBI's taxonomy places the organism in Eukaryota, Viridiplantae, Streptophyta, Magnoliopsida, Fabales, Fabaceae. The transcript is spliced from 11 exons. The record is from RefSeq and is a predicted model, not a curated record.